ACGCAAAGUCUAAAACUAUUCCCCCUCUAAUCUCUCGCGUCUGCUCCUCUUUCUCUCUCUUCCCCUCUUCACUCAGUCUCGAUUUGCUUCUUCAAAUGCCGCAUGCUGCCGCCGCUGCUGAAGAACCAAAUUUUAAAGCCUUCUCUCACGAACAGUUCGUUGAUGUCGUUAGAUCUGAAGCUGCUGCUCCACCAGUUCAUAUGACAGGGGUACCCCCUUCUGAUAUGAAGAAGAAGAGAGAUAAGCCAUAGGAAGUAUGGCCCUGGUGGUGCUGUGGCGGCUGCAUUGUCGCCAAUGCCGAUUUCGGCAUUAAUUCCUCUGAGUAGAGACUUUUCAGGCUGGAAAAAACAUAGAGCAAGGCCUUUUCAGACAAUAAAGAAGCCAUAUUAAGUGGAGUUUGAGAGUCUAGAUGGGCGGUUGGUAAUCUGUACCAUGGGCAAGUCUACCCUAAGUAGUAAUCUUGUGGUUGUUUAAUGUAAUGUAUGUCAAUUCAUAUCUCUUAAGCGCUCAUGUUUUUCUUUUGAUUUUUAUGUAUCUGAUUUCUUUCUAACUUGUACUCUGUUUAUGGAAAUGAUGAUGUGAGAUUUCAUCACCCUUGUCAUCCCCACUUCUAAAUUAUCUAAAAUACAAAAAGUAAAGUUCGGCAUACCUAGUACCAAUGCCUUGAUUUUGGGUUCCCCUAUAAUGUUUGCAUUCUCUAAUAUGACUUGCAAUGUAACUUUCAAGUCCUUGUUUGUCUGGUGAAUAUGCUUAUGCUAUUUAGGACUUGUCUUCACCCUUCUUAGAUAAACAUAUCUAGUGGCAAAGGAUGUGUGCGUAUAAAAGGACAUCUGCACUACAGUAAUUACCUUGCUGUUCUAUAGUCAUGAGACUCUGCAAUGAGAUUUUAGAAUAUUGGGUUUUUAAGUAUUUAUUGAACUUUUUUGGUGUUUGAUUUUUUGGGUUUUUUACAUGAGACUUGAGUCUUGAAUAGUUUGGUUCAUAUUCAGAGCCACUCAUUUUCCACAUAAGCUGAAAUCUUGUCAUGUUAGAUUUUGUAGUAUACAGGAAAGGCAGCUUUUCUAUUGUAUACUCCUUGCUGAUUUAAUUUGAUGCUACUCUGGUAAACUCAGUACUGAAGUUUUUGACUUUACUUCCUUUUUCUGAGAAUCAACAAUGGCCUUUUACUUAGAUAAACAAGCAAAACCCAUUGGGAAUGCGUGUAUGCAUUGUGUAUUUUCUUCGUUUUACUGCUUAUUUAUUUGCGAGGGAAAUGGAUUACACAGGUUUGUGUAUUUUGAUAGUAUUUCUUUUUUUUCCAGGGAGUUAGACCAGAUUUUUAUUGAAUCAGUAAAUUAUCUGCCGGUUAAAUCAUUUGGUCAUUCCCCUUUCCAUAUCCUCAUCUUGUUUGUUUAAAUGUGCAGCAUUCCUCAUUUAAAAACUGUAACGCAGCUGCUUGCAAACAUGGAAAACUCCCAUGGAAAAAUUUUAGUGUUUGUGUUUCUUUGAACCCAUAAUUGUAUUUCUUAUAAUUUGCAAUUGUUGUUUAUUAGUAGUAUUUCUUGUAUUCAGGAACAAAAAUAUAUGAAAUAUAACUUUUUACCUAUAUAUAA
Molecule: long non-coding RNA, 1592 nt
Organism: Beta vulgaris subsp. vulgaris (sugar beet)
Lineage: Eukaryota; Viridiplantae; Streptophyta; Magnoliopsida; Caryophyllales; Amaranthaceae
Exons: 3
Source: RefSeq, a predicted model, not a curated record